GCGGGUGGAGCAUGUGGUUUAAUUCGAAGCAACGCGCAGAACCUUACCAGCCCUUGACAUGCCCGGCUACUUGCAGAGAUGCAAGGUUCCCUUCGGGGACCGGGACACAGGUGCUGCAUGGCUGUCGUCAGCUCGUGUCGUGAGAUGUUGGGUUAAGUCCCGCAACGAGCGCAACCCUCGCCCUUAGUUGCCAGCAUUAAGUUGGGCACUCUAAGGGGACUGCCGGUGAUAAGCCGAGAGGAAGGUGGGGAUGACGUCAAGUCCUCAUGGCCCUUACGGGCUGGGCUACACACGUGCUACAAUGGUGGUGACAGUGGGCAGCGAGCACGCGAGUGUGAGCUAAUCUCCAAAAGCCAUCUCAGUUCGGAUUGCACUCUGCAACUCGAGUGCAUGAAGUUGGAAUCGCUAGUAAUCGCGGAUCAGCAUGCCGCGGUGAAUACGUUCCCGGGCCUUGUACACACCGCCCGUCACACCAUGGGAGUUGGUUUUACCCGAAGGUAGUGCGCUAACCGCAAGGAGGCAGCUAACCACGGUAGGGUCAGCGACUGGGGUGAAGUCGUAACAAGGUAGCCGUAGGGGAACCUGCGGCUGGAUCACCUCCUUUCUAAGGAAGCUGUGGAAUUGGUAAGACGAUCGGCACAUGUCCUCGGACAUGGCCCGAUAUGAACCUUCCCGUGCUUUUUAGAACAUAGAUGGCACCAGUCAGGUGACCAUCGAAACGUAAUACGCCGCGAUGACUUCGGUCACGACGGUAUGGCGAGCUUUCGCCGUCCACGUUUCUCUUUCUUCAAAAGGAUAUCGAACCAUGGGUUUGCGCUCGCGCGCCGUUCGCACCUUCGGUGCUGCGCUCCGCGAGGGCGCCGGACGACCGGCGACGGCCUCUGGCCUGUAUGGGCGACCCUUUCCGAGGUUUUGCUUAGGAUUGGCGUCGACGCAGAGAGAUGGGCCCGUAGCUCAGUUGGUUAGAGCACACGCUUGAUAAGCGUGGGGUCGGAAGUUCAAGUCUUCCCGGGCCCACCAUUUGCUCCAGCAAAUGAGGUUUGCUGUAGCGAAUUGUGGUUUGUUUGAGUUUACCUGAUCCUGGCGGUUUGCUGUCAGGUGUUUGCGAUGGUUGGGGCUGUAGCUCAGCUGGGAGAGCACCUGCUUUGCAAGCAGGGGGUCAGCGGUUCGAUCCCGCUCAGCUCCACCAAUUCGCUUGGUGUUGAGACUGAGAGAUAUCCUUUGAAGAAAUAAAAGUUUUGCAUCGGCUUAGGCUGAUGCGUGUUCUGCAUACAUUGUGAAGAGAAGAUUGAUCUGGAGGCUUCCAGGUGUUUUGGGUUUUGCCCAAGGCGUCCGAGCCCAGUUCUAGUGAUCCCAUGGAUGGCCUAGCCGGCCGGAUAUGGGUGAAGGACUGGAGGUAGGAAGGAAGCUUGUCGCUCUGGGUCGUUGUUGUUUGCUGUCUUUAGGGACGGCAUCUGACGGACGACUUGAUUACCGUUGCCUGACCGCGCGGUAUCGGAUCCAAUCUCGAGAAGCUGGUCUUAAGACAGGCUGCAAGCGAGCUGCUCGGCGUAGCUCCAAUAAAGCAGACCUGUCGAACACGUUAAUGGCAUUGUUGGAUUGACUGGGUUGUAAAAGGUAACCCGGUCUGUUGCCGUUCCUUGGAACGGGCAACGAGACGAUGAGCAUUGGCAAUGAGAACGAUUAAGUGUCGUAAGGGCAUUUGGUGGAUGCCUUGGCAUGCACAGGCGAUGAAGGACGUGAUACGCUGCGAAAAGCCGUGGGAGCUGCGAAUGAGC
Molecule: small RNA, 1778 nt
Filed under: Rhizobium leguminosarum
Lineage: Bacteria; Pseudomonadati; Pseudomonadota; Alphaproteobacteria; Hyphomicrobiales; Rhizobiaceae
Description: bacterial SSU rRNA
Rfam family: Bacterial small subunit ribosomal RNA (bases 1-604)
Source: RNAcentral